This 69-nucleotide transfer RNA is filed under the name Marmota monax (woodchuck). Its description in RNAcentral is "tRNA.Ala". The record is from RNAcentral. Lineage: Eukaryota; Metazoa; Chordata; Mammalia; Rodentia; Sciuridae.
GGUAUGUGGCUCAAGCGGUACUGCGCUCGCCUGGCAUGCGCGAGGUGCUGGGUUAGAUCCCCAGCACCA